GACGAACGCUGGCGGCGUGCUUAACACAUGCAAGUCGAACGGAAAGGCCCUGCUUUUGUGGGGUGCUCGAGUGGCGAACGGGUGAGUAACACGUGAGUAACCUGCCCUUGACUUUGGGAUAACUUCAUGAAACUGGGGCUAAUACCGGAUAGGAGCUCCUGCUUCAUGGUGGGGGGUGGAAAGUUUCGGCGGUUGGGGAUGGACUCGCGGCUUAUCAGCUUGUUGGUGGGGUAGUGGCUUACCAAGGCGUUGACGGGUAGCCGGCCUGAGAGGGUGACCGGCCACAUUGGGACUGAGAUACGGCCCAGACUCCUACGGGAGGCAGCAGUGGGGAAUAUUGCACAAUGGGCGGAAGCCUGAUGCAGCAACGCCGCGUGCGGGAUGACGGCCUUCGGGUUGUAAACCGCUUUCGCCCGUGACGAAGCGUGAGUGACGGUAAUGGGUAAAGAAGCACCGGCUAACUACGUG
Molecule: ribosomal RNA, 468 nt
Filed under: uncultured bacterium
Lineage: Bacteria
Description: partial 16S ribosomal RNA
Rfam family: Bacterial small subunit ribosomal RNA
Source: RNAcentral